This is a long non-coding RNA of Branchiostoma belcheri (Belcher's lancelet), 437 nucleotides long. RefSeq lists it as uncharacterized. The record is from RefSeq and is a predicted model, not a curated record. The transcript has 5 exons. Lineage: Eukaryota; Metazoa; Chordata; Leptocardii; Amphioxiformes; Branchiostomatidae.
AGGCGGCCCAAUCACACCAGCAGGGCCAGGAGGACCAGUCUUUCCUUGGAAGCCCUACAGAGAAAGGAGAAAGGCAAGACAGGACACAUCUUUGCAGAAGGAGCAUCUCAACAGCAUCCAAGAAGCAGGACUGUUGCUUGCCUGUGACUCUGAAAAAGGAAAGGUGGGGGAUAGGGACACAGAGGACAAGUGAGUCAACAGCAGACAAGGGAAGCAGUCAGGUCAAGCAGUACAUGUACUAGAUACUAUCGUCUCUGGUAUGUCAUCUAUGGCACAGUAUACAUGUAGAUGUUGCAUGACAGCAAGUUGAGAGAUUGCAGCACAUGCUCUAAGCGAGGGCUUGCAGCUUUCAGGAAGUGUGAGAGGAGAGAGAGGACCAUGCAGCAGGAAGCAGAGGAGUGUGCAUCAGCGAGAAGACAACGACACACUGCAGGCAA